CCUACGGGAGGCUGCAGUGGGGAAUAUUGGACAAUGGGCGAAAGCCUGAUCCAGCCAUGCCGCGUGUGUGAAGAAGGCCUUCGGGUUGUAAAGCACUUUCAGUGGGGAAGAAAGCCUUGGGGCUAAUACCCUCGAGGAAGGACAUCACCCACAGAAGAAGCACCGGCUAACUCCGUGCCAGCAGCCGCGGUAAUACGGAGGGUGCGAGCGUUAAUCGGAAUUACUGGGCGUAAAGCGCGCGUAGGCGGUCUGAUAAGCCGGUUGUGAAAGCCCCGGGCUCAACCUGGGAACGGCAUCCGGACGUGUCCGGCUAGAGUGCAGGAGAGGAAGGUAGAAUUCCCGGUGUAGCGGUGAAAUGCGUAGAGAUCGGGAGGAAUACCAGUGGCGAAGGCGGCCUUCUGGACUGACACUGACGCUGAGGUGCGAAAGCGUGGGUAGCAAACAGGAGUAGAUACCCUGGUAGUC
RNAcentral lists this ribosomal RNA (465 nucleotides) under Vreelandella stevensii. Its description in RNAcentral is "partial 16S ribosomal RNA". It matches the Rfam family "Bacterial small subunit ribosomal RNA", at positions 338 to 795 of the family's 1533-position model. Lineage: Bacteria; Pseudomonadati; Pseudomonadota; Gammaproteobacteria; Oceanospirillales; Halomonadaceae. The record is from RNAcentral.